AGGCGUAGCCGAUGCACAGACGGUAGAGAUUCCGUCCCCACCGAAAGAUUUAAGCACAGGGACACUUUUAGAAGGUCGGAGCCAGGUGUUGGUUCUGGUAGUGAUCGAGGGAAAUAUAGUACCGAAGUCUGGCUGGAUGAGAGGCGAGAAAAGCUGUGUGUAUAUCUAAGGUGCCCGUACCGCAAACCGACACAGGUAGGUAGGAAGAAGAUUCUAAGGCCAACGGGAGAAGGGUUGUUAAGGAACUCGGCAAGUUGACCCCGUAACUUCGGAAUAAGGGGUGCUCACGAGAGUGAGCCGCAGAGAAUAGGCCCAGGCAACUGUUUACCAAAAACACAGGUUUGUGCUAAAUCGAAAGAUGACGUAUACGAGCUGACGCCUGCCCGGUGCUGGAAGGUUAAAAGGAGAUGUGCAAGCAUUGAAUUGAAGCCCCAGUGAACGGCGGCCGUAACUAUAACGGUCCUAAGGUAGCGAAAUUCCUUGUCAGGUAAGUUCUGACCCGCAUGAAAGGCGUAAUGAUCUGGGCACUGUCUCAACAGCCCGCCCGGCGAAAUUGUAGUACCGGUGAAGAUGCCGGUUACCCGCGACAAGACGGAAAGACCCCAUGGAGCUUUACUGUAGCCUGAUAUUGGGUUUCGGUGUUGCAUGCACAGGAUAGAUGGGACACUGGGAAGCGGAUGCUUUGGCGUUCGUGGAGUGGACGUUGGGAUACCAUCCUUGCGACAUUGGAAUUCUAACCUGCGCCUCUGAAUCGAGGCGGGGGACAUUGUCAGGUGGGCAGUUUGACUGGGGCGGUCGCCUCCUAAAAAGUAGCGGAGGCGUUCAAAGGUUCGUUCGAUCUGGACGGAAACCAGAUGAAUGAGUGCAAACGCAUAAACGAGCCUGACUGCGAGACUGACGGGUCGAGCAGAGACGAAAGUCGGAGUUAGUGAUCCGGUGGUAUGUGAGUGGAAAUGCCAUCGCUCAACGGAUAAAAGUUACCCUGGGGAUAACAGGCUGAUCUCCCCCAAGAGUCCACAUCGACGGGGAGGUU
This 1033-nucleotide ribosomal RNA is filed under the name human gut metagenome. RNAcentral describes it as "bacterial LSU rRNA". It matches the Rfam family "Bacterial large subunit ribosomal RNA", at positions 1407 to 2518 of the family's 2925-position model. The record is from RNAcentral.